This is a long non-coding RNA of Helicoverpa armigera (cotton bollworm), 2234 nucleotides long. RefSeq lists it as uncharacterized. The transcript is spliced from 2 exons. The record is from RefSeq and is a predicted model, not a curated record. NCBI's taxonomy places the organism in Eukaryota, Metazoa, Arthropoda, Insecta, Lepidoptera, Noctuidae.
CAGGCGUCCAGUCCAUGUUUGCUGCGUCCUCACGGAGGUUUACAAGAUCCAUGCCAUUAAAAUUGCGCCGCAGAAGAAUUCUUGCCUUUGCUUUGGGAGGACGAAUUUUAUAAGAAAUAUAGAUAAGAUCAUGGUAAGAGAAUGCAUCAGCCGAACACUGACCAUGCUUAGCGACGUGAUCAGAAGAAGAUACAAAGAUUAAGUCAAGAAGGGAGGGGGUAGAAUGAGGGAAAUGGUGUGUUGCAUUAAGAGGAAGUAUUGAUAGAUUGCAAGAGUUAAUUAUAGAAUUAAGAGAUGCAGAUCGAGAAUCAUUUUUAAGGAGACAGGUGUUGAAAUCACCCAUGAUAAUGACGUGACUGUAAGAAGUUAUAAAAUUUUCUAGAAUUUGUUCAAAAGAGGAAAAGAAGUUAAUGCGUAGUGAGGGACAGUAAUAGACUCCAAGUAGAACUUUAGUGUGGCACAUCGUAAGUUCCAGAAAAAGAUGCUCCCCGGCGUUUGGAGGAGGUGGCUGCGCUGACAUAUCUACGAUUUUAAAGGAAAUAUAUGAGCGGAGAUAUAUGGCAACACCACCACCGCCUCCACCCGUGCGGUCAUUUCUUACCAACUGAUAACCUGGUAGUGAGUAAGCCGUUGUCGGGAGACAAGGCUUAAGCCACGACUCGGAGACAAGAAUUGCAUGAACAUUCUUACAGUCAAAACUUGCCAGCAUAUCAGGGAAAUGUGCCGGAAUGCUCUGAGCGUUUAUGUGUACUACAUUAAAAUUCCUAGAAACAUCAGAAAACUGCGCAAUUAGCGUGUCUGAAAGUGAUGGCAAGCUAGUAAAACUGUCAUCGCUACUAUUGGCUGAAAAGAAAGUGUCCAAUUCGCUGCUAUUGUCAUGAGAAGACAUUAGAUGUUAAACAAAUAAUGUAUAAAAUAGAAAUAUAUAAAUAUAAUAAAAAUAAUAAACAACUAACAAGGGGACAGAUAAACAGUCCACCUGCCGGCUGUGCUAGGUAGGCAUAAUCACAUAAAUACACACACAAAACUUAAAACUAAAAAUAACACUAAUAGUAUAAUGCACAUUCUUGGUCCGGGUAUUAUGUCGCAGAAAUAUGCAACCGAGAAUAACAGCUGUAAAUUGACAAGUAUUACAUAUGACAGUUGAUAUCACGAGAAUACCUGUCGCCCAGCGAAGUGUGACAGCUACUGUUCGCUGUCAAUCUGAUAGUUACGACUAACACUACCCACUUGUUUAUUUAUAUUUUUGAAGAAAAGACAUAAAGAAAGAGAUUAAAAUAACUGACAAUAAUUGGAAAGAAGGAACCUACAAAGCAAUAUGAAAAGCAGCCACACGUUUGGGCCUGCUUGUGAUGACCGGCUUCUUUUGAGCGUCGACAGUCGCAGGUUCUUUCGGGGACUCUGUGGUAUCUCGCGGCAGUAACGCACUCAAUUCUGAAGCAGUUGUAAUGCGAUGCCGUGACCCAUCGGGUGCAAGUACAUAAACGCACCCGUCUCUUGUCCAGCACUUAGUCACCCCAAGCCUCUUUCGUGCAGUCAUGAAGAGGUCAUGCCUCGACUUGGUCAGGAACUCCGAAAUAGUGAUACCGACACCUUUUAAUUGGGUUUUGUUAAACCAUAUAUUAUUACACACAGCAACAUCCCGGAGCUUAAAUAAGAUAGGCCGUGAUCCUGAGGCAGUAGUUGACCGACCCAUCCGGUGACUCCUCUUAAUGUCAGCUAACGUGAAAUCAGACAUCUUCAAGCGGUCCUUGACAACAUCCACCACUACCUGUGCCACAUCUUCAUUUUUCACCUCCGGGACACCGUGCAGCAACAAGAUACCUCGCCGACCGCGCAUCUCCAUGGAGUCAAUGCUUUUUGCAAGCAAUUCCACCUGUUGCUGCAAGCUAGUGACGGCCUGAGUUAUGAAGAGUCUGAAGGUUGAAAACUCGGCAGCCAAGUUUGAGUUGGAUGGUUCUGCUGGUGCUUUCUGCAACUGUGCUUCAAACUCUGCCAUCCUCUUAUUAAAGAUGUCCAUGAGACCAGUGACAGUGUUGGUGAUGGGAUCCAUUUGUGGUGUAAUAUAUGGAUAGAUGACAGUUAUGUGAAGAAAUUAGUUUUGCGUUGUAAAUAGUGAGAAUGAAGAAAAAGAAAGGAGAAAACACUUGCCAGCAGGUAGCUCGAUUUAAGCUGUUGUUCUGUACAUUAAUUUACACUGUGUCUUCAGUAAAUAUAUUUUAAUUUAAAUUUUA